GUGCUGGAAGGCAAGUUGGUUGCGUCACUAGUCGAACUUUGUUCUCGGCUAAUGAGUGACAAUAUACUCGACGCCCAAGGCAAUCUAAGUCAUCUUCCAAGUGGGGAGUUCGUUUUGGGUUUUCCAAAACGAACGAUCUGCGGCAACAUCGGGAAAGACGCGGCGUCAACGAAAGUCGUGCCACGUCUCGAUGCUGUUGACCCGUCUCCUGAUUUUGGAUCUCUUGUUUCAUUUGCCUAUGAUAUUCGUUAAAUGAUGUGGCUAUGGUAGGUUGCUUGGUGAUCUUUGUUCGACUUUGAUCUAAGUUUUAAGCUUAACCGGUUUUCUUCACGAGGCCCGCACGAUCGGUCUUAUUGUAUGGCAUGUUCUUGUUUGAUUGUUGCCUUAUGAUUGGAUUGUUAGUGUGACCGAUGACAUGAUGUGACUUGUUAAUCUUAAAACUUGUGGUGGCGAUUUGGCAUUGUUGCAUUUGUUGAUGAGUGUUGUUGAACGGUGAUGCAAGGGUUCCUCGCAUCGUUCGGUGCAUUCUGGGGUCA
Molecule: unclassified non-coding RNA, 536 nt
Filed under: Edmondia sesamoides
Lineage: Eukaryota; Viridiplantae; Streptophyta; Magnoliopsida; Asterales; Asteraceae
Description: partial external transcribed spacer
Source: RNAcentral